RNAcentral lists this ribosomal RNA (800 nucleotides) under Enterococcus faecium. Its description in RNAcentral is "bacterial SSU rRNA". It matches the Rfam family "Bacterial small subunit ribosomal RNA", at positions 220 to 1011 of the family's 1533-position model. The record is from RNAcentral. Lineage: Bacteria; Bacillati; Bacillota; Bacilli; Lactobacillales; Enterococcaceae.
CGUGGAUGGACCCGCGGUGCAUUAGCUAGUUGGUGAGGUAACGGCUCACCAAGGCCACGAUGCAUAGCCGACCUGAGAGGGUGAUCGGCCACAUUGGGACUGAGACACGGCCCAAACUCCUACGGGAGGCAGCAGUAGGGAAUCUUCGGCAAUGGACGAAAGUCUGACCGAGCAACGCCGCGUGAGUGAAGAAGGUUUUCGGAUCGUAAAACUCUGUUGUUAGAGAAGAACAAGGAUGAGAGUAACUGUUCAUCCCUUGACGGUAUCUAACCAGAAAGCCACGGCUAACUACGUGCCAGCAGCCGCGGUAAUACGUAGGUGGCAAGCGUUGUCCGGAUUUAUUGGGCGUAAAGCGAGCGCAGGCGGUUUCUUAAGUCUGAUGUGAAAGCCCCCGGCUCAUCCGGGGAGGGUCAUUGGAAACUGGGAGACUUGAGUGCAGAAGAGGAGAGUGGAAUUCCAUGUGUAGCGGUGAAAUGCGUAGAUAUAUGGAGGAACACCAGUGGCGAAGGCGGCUCUCUGGUCUGUAACUGACGCUGAGGCUCGAAAGCGUGGGGAGCAAACAGGAUUAGAUACCCUGGUAGUCCACGCCGUAAACGAUGAGUGCUAAGUGUUGGAGGGUUUCCGCCCUUCAGUGCUGCAGCUAACGCAUUAAGCACUCCGCCUGGGGAGUACGACCGCAAGGUUGAAACUCAAAGGAAUUGACGGGGGCCCGCACAAGGGGUGGAGCAUGUGGUUUAAUUCGAAGCAACGCGAAGAACCUUACCAGGUCUUGACAUCCUUUGACCACUCUAGAGAUACAG